Molecule: unclassified non-coding RNA, 520 nt
Filed under: uncultured Glomus
Lineage: Eukaryota; Fungi; Glomeromycota; Glomeromycetes; Glomerales; Glomeraceae
Description: SSU rRNA
Rfam family: Eukaryotic small subunit ribosomal RNA
Source: RNAcentral
AGCAGCCGCGGUAAUUCCAGCUCCAAUAGCGUAUAUUAAAGUUGUUGCAGUUAAAAAGCUCGUAGUUGAAUUUCGGGAUCAGUUGGUCGGUCGUGCCUCGGUACGUACUGGUCAAAUUGAUUCCUACCUUCUGACGAACCACGAUGUCAUUAAUUUGGUGUCGCGGGAAAUCAGGACUGUUACUUUGAAAAAAUUAGAGUGUUUAUAGCAGGCUCGCGCUUGAAUACAUUAGCAUGGAAUAAUGAAAUAGGACGUUUGAUUCUAUUUUGUUGGUUUCUAGGAUCGACGUAAUGAUUAAUAGGGAUAGUUGGGGGCAUUAGUAUUCAAUUGUCAGAGGUGAAAUUCUUGGAUUUAUUGAAGACUAACUACUGCGAAAGCAUUUGCCAAGGAUGUUUUCAUUAAUCAAGAACGAAAGUUAGGGGAUCGAAGACGAUCAGAUACCGUCGUAGUCUUAACCAUAAACUAUGCCGACUAGGGAUCGGAUGAUGUUAAUUUUUUCAAUGACUCAUUCGGCGCCUUA